CACGUUCGGAUUGUAGUCUGCAACCCGACUACAUGAAGCCGGAAUCGCUAGUAAUCGCGGAUCAGAAUGCCGCGGUGAAUACGUUCCCGGGUCUUGUACACACCGCCCGUCACACCAUGGGAGUUGGAAAUGCCCGAAGUCAGUGGCCCAACCGGAAGGGGGGAGCUGCCGAAGGCAGGUUCGAUGACUGGGGUGAAGUCGUAACAAGGUAGC
Molecule: ribosomal RNA, 213 nt
Filed under: uncultured bacterium
Lineage: Bacteria
Description: partial 16S ribosomal RNA
Rfam family: Bacterial small subunit ribosomal RNA
Source: RNAcentral